This 195-nucleotide ribosomal RNA is filed under the name uncultured eukaryote. RNAcentral's name for it is "partial 18S ribosomal RNA". It matches the Rfam family "Eukaryotic small subunit ribosomal RNA", at positions 1 to 191 of the family's 1831-position model. The record is from RNAcentral.
CAAAACCUGGUUGAUCCUGCCAGUAGUCAUACGCUCGUCUCAAAGAUUAAGCCAUGCAUGUCUAAGUAUAAACAACUCUAUACUGUGAAACUGCGAAUGGCUCAUUAUAUCAGUUAUAGUUUAUUUGAUAGUACCUCACUACUUGGAUAACCGUAGUAAUUCUAGAGCUAAUACAUGCGUGAACUCCCAACUGCU